AUGUGUGAAACUUUCUAGUGAAGUGUCGUAACUCUACUAUACAGGAUUUAUUUCUUUUU
RNAcentral lists this antisense RNA (59 nucleotides) under Streptococcus dysgalactiae subsp. equisimilis. RNAcentral describes it as "Spy392987". It matches the Rfam family "S. pyogenes antisense RNA 392987". The record is from RNAcentral. Lineage: Bacteria; Bacillati; Bacillota; Bacilli; Lactobacillales; Streptococcaceae.